CAGGUGCGAUGGUAAUGCGUCGCAUAAUAGGGAAGUCCGGUGUAAAUCCGGCGCAGUCCCGCUACUGUAAUGGUGAGUUAACCGCAUAAAAGCCACUGGGCAACUGGGAAGGCGCGGUAGAAUUAACGAUGAUCCAAAGCCAGGAGACCUGCCUGUAGAAC
Molecule: non-coding RNA, 161 nt
Filed under: chicken gut metagenome
Source: RNAcentral